This 1229-nucleotide long non-coding RNA is filed under the name Equus asinus (donkey). RNAcentral's name for it is "lncRNA (ENSEASG00005024227.1)". The record is from RNAcentral. Lineage: Eukaryota; Metazoa; Chordata; Mammalia; Perissodactyla; Equidae.
GAAGUAUGUUCCCUGGACCAGCGGUAUCAACAUCACCUGGGAAGAUGUAGAAGCACAAAUUCUCCUGCCUACUCCAGACCUACAGAAUUAGAAACUCUGGGGCUGGAGCUCAGUAAUCGGUGAUUUACCAGUCCUCCAGGUGAUUCUGAAACAUGCUCUCGUGUGAGGACCACUGCUGUAAAGGCAAGUCUGUCCACUUGUAAAACCCUGUGAUUCUACCUUGCCUGAUAAUCUUCACCAACUCGAAACUGUAGUGAACUCCGUAUCCUCUCAUUAAGCAGACCUCUUGGCCUCAAAAGGAGAUGUAAGUCCUUGGAAAGAGUUAGUGAUGCGACCACUCAAUUCCAUGGCCUCAGUGUCUUACCAAGCCCUUGACUCCUGGUGUUUGUCCUCAUAGUCCCUGUGCUCUGUGCCUGUUAUUAAGGUCAGAAGAACCUACUCCUGCACCCAAACUCACCAUCUGCUUACCCGGCAGGUGAGUUUGGGCAACAUUUUGAUUGACUUUCACCUAUUCCAGAUGAGAAUCUUGAAAAGAGAUUUGGGAACCUUAUUUCUCCUGUUUGACCACUAAAACUGUGCUUAGACCUCUCUUGCUGUACCGCCAUUGUUGUAGUAAACACCGAAGUUCCCGGUUCUGGUGCUGAAUUAGUCCCUUAACAAUAAUCUGCUAGGUGUUCUAGUCACUGACCUGCAUUCGUCCUCUAGUCCUAUUCUGGGGCCCUUAGUCUCUGUUAGGACUCAGUUGAAUCCUUCCCUCAUACCCAACAAAUUUGUAUGUUGGAGUCCUAACCCCCAGGACCUCAGAAUAUGGCUAUAUUUGGACACAGACCUUUAAUGAGAUAAUUGACUUAAAUGAGGCCAUUAGAAUGGGCCUUAAUCCAGUAUGAACAGUGUCCUUAAGAGGAGAUUCGGACACAGAUGUGCACCAAGGGAAGACCCUGUGAAGAUACAGGGAGAAGACGGCGUCUGCAAGCCAAUGAGAGAGGCCUCAAAAGAAAUCAACCCUGCCAACAUCCUGAUCUCAGACCUCCAGCCUCCAAAACUGAAGAUGUGAGACCAUGCCAGGGAGCUGAAGACAAGGUUUUCCUGAAGGGGAAAGGAAGGUUUCAUUGUGAAAGAUCUCUCUCUCUCUCACUCUGGAGAAGGAGGAGGAGGAAGAAAAUGCACAGCCCCUGAGGAGCUCACACUGUUUGGAACCCUUGACUUAGAAGUGAAGAUGACAGACCUUG